RNAcentral lists this ribosomal RNA (253 nucleotides) under uncultured bacterium. Its description in RNAcentral is "partial 16S ribosomal RNA". It matches the Rfam family "Bacterial small subunit ribosomal RNA", at positions 524 to 776 of the family's 1533-position model. The record is from RNAcentral.
UACGGGGGGGGCAAGCGUUGUUCGGAAUUACUGGGCGUAAAGGGCUCGUAGGUGGCCAACUAAGUCGGACGUGAAAUCCCUCAGCUUAACUGGGGAACUGCGUCCGAUACUGGAUGGCUCGAGUUUGGGAGAGGGAUGCGGAAUUCUAGGUGUAGCGGUGAAAUGCGUAGAUAUCUGGAGGAACACCGGUGGCGAAGGCGGCAUCCUGGACCAACACUGACACUGAGGAGCGAAAGCCAGGGGAGCAAACGGG